UGGGGAAUAUUGCACAAUGGGCGCAAGCCUGAUGCAGCCAUGCCGCGUGUGUGAAGAAGGCCUUCGGGUUGUAAAGCACUUUCAGCGGGGAGGAAGGCGUUAAGGUUAAUAACCUUGGCGAUUGACGUUACCCGCAGAACAAGCACCGGCUAACUCCGUGCCAGCAGCCGCGGUAAUACGGAGGGUGCAAGCGUUAAUCGGAAUUACUGGGCGUAAAGCGCACGCAUGCGGUCUCUCAAGUCGGAUGUGAAAUCCCCGGGCUCAACCUGGGAACUGCAUUCGAGACUGGCAGGCUAGAGUCUUGUAGAGGGGGGUAGAAUUCCAGGUGUAGCGGUGAAAUGCGUAGAGAUCUGGAGGAAUACCGGUGGCGAAGGCGGCCCCCUGGACAAAGACUGACGCUCAGGUGCGAAAGCGUGGGGAGCAAACAGG
Molecule: ribosomal RNA, 429 nt
Filed under: Chloroflexota bacterium
Lineage: Bacteria; Bacillati; Chloroflexota
Description: Chloroflexi bacterium partial 16S ribosomal RNA
Rfam family: Bacterial small subunit ribosomal RNA
Source: RNAcentral